This is a long non-coding RNA of Musa acuminata AAA Group (dessert banana), 618 nucleotides long. RefSeq lists it as uncharacterized. The record is from RefSeq and is a predicted model, not a curated record. NCBI's taxonomy places the organism in Eukaryota, Viridiplantae, Streptophyta, Magnoliopsida, Zingiberales, Musaceae. The transcript is spliced from 2 exons.
GAACACUCAAGUCUUCCCGAAUCCAUUAGCAAAUUAAUUGCGAACCCGAAAACGAUUCUUGUAUGCUUCCCUAGGAGGUCCGUCCGGUAUCUGUAUCCCAUUUUAAUGGAUCGGAUCCUAAAAAACUCCGACCCAUCAGUAGCACUACGAAAACGACUGGAUCUCUGCGGAGGAACGCAGAGGGCUUCCUCUUUUGGGCGAUUCCUCGACCCCAAUCGAUCACGCACUCGGGCUUGUCGAAGCUUCAGCGUUCGACGUCCAUGGAGUGUGCGAAAAGGUCAUCGCUGAGAGGUACCGAUCCGACACUGCUAUCCGCCAACGAGUACCACAGUCUCCGUCGAUGAGAAAGCCCUGCUACCGAGUUCGUCACUUUCUGGCGAGGAUUCUGCAUUGAUCACUGCAGAAGAGAGCCUGCUAGAGCAUUUCCCCCUUGAGUUGUGGGGUACUUCAAUUUGUCAUAGAAGAGGUUAAUGUUGUGGAACAUCAUAAAUCAUGUAAAGAACACAGAAAUGUAAGCUUUCCUUUCAUUCCACUUCUGUGCUCAGCACCAGUUACCUGAGCACUGACAAGUAGUUUCAGCUUCCAGCCAAAUAAGAGUGUUGGGCACUUUAAACAUCA